Molecule: long non-coding RNA, 1495 nt
Organism: Engraulis encrasicolus (European anchovy)
Lineage: Eukaryota; Metazoa; Chordata; Actinopteri; Clupeiformes; Engraulidae
Exons: 2
Source: RefSeq, a predicted model, not a curated record
GAUUCCUACCAUCUGAUAUGCUUUCGCAUAUACAUCUGGGACCUGCCCCCAACCGACGCUCUUCCAAAUGAACCAUUUUUUUCAAAACUCUUGCAUGUGAUUGGAUUAAGAAUCUGUCCGUCAUUUUGACUGACACGCCAUUUCAGCCACUCCCGUUGACUCAAUCCGUGACGUAGUUCACAGCGACACCACGCAGGAGGCAAGACUUUUCAUCACAACAAACAUGGCCGCGGCUGGAAGUAAACGGAGUAAACUUUCUAUAAACGAACAUUGCCCUAUGUGCAGGGGAUAUCUAAGGACAAAUGGUAAUAUCUGCAACCGCCCAUGGAUAUUUGAAGAACUUCCCUACGGGAAAGGGUAAACCAGCGCCCAGCUGAACUUGAUCGAAACUUGUGAAACUUCUCCGAAAAAUCCUGUCGCAUGCCUGAAAUGCCUGCUGUAAUUUAACCCAGCGUUCUCAAGGUACGUACGAUGCAGAAAUGCAAAGCAGGGCCAAACAUGCUGCAUUCAAUGGGUACGAAGACGGUGUGAGGAACAACAUAACAGCUCUCUUCCUGGUGGCAGCCAUGGAGCACCUAGGGGCUUCAUUAAGUGUCAGGUACCUCUGGAACAAAGAUUUACAUUACAACAAAUGUAUGACCCCAGUUAAAGCUGGUGCCAUGACAGUCUGUACAUAUUGGCUUUGUAAGAUUACAUCUAAGCUAACCAUACUGCACAUUUUGCAUUAUCUAUCUUUUUAAAUGUGUCAACAGAUAUCCCUGACGGCUUCCUACCUGACCACAUAACCAUGGGCUCUGAAGAGGGGAAAAAAAGGAACAGGCUACAUCCGGUAGUGGCCCGGGUGUUCAACAAAUGCCAUUUUCCACAUGCAGUCCAGGAGGGAGACGUAUAACUAUACUGUAGAUUUGAUAUUUUUACAAGGCCUUUAGCCACAGUGUGCCCACAGCGCACUGCUCGUAAUUCUGCAGGUAAAUUUCACUCUUUCGCAUCGCUUAGCCCACAGCACCUUAACAACUUGAAGUCAUCAAUCUGAAGUCAUUUUUAGAACAUAGUUGUCCCGGUCUCACUGAAACAAACAGCAGAUUGGACCAGCAUGUCUAUUGGACUCCUGCAGAAAAUCAUGGUGAACAGACAGACAAAUGCACACUGGAGCACAUUAUGUUGCUAGUCACACAGAGGAUAUUUUCAGAGAGGCUGAGUUGUUUUCACCCCCCCCAUCUAGUCAUGACAUUCUGAUAAAUCGCAAAAGCAGUAACCUGUGGCGCAGGAUCAAAGCUAAAUUGAAAGAGCGCCAAGACUAAUAUAAAAUUGGUGGAGUAAAUGCAUGUACUGUAAUAAUGUAUGUAAAUAAUUUGUGUAUGUAAGUAGUGUAUAUAAAAUAACCCAGUGCAACUUUUUUUUCCAUAAGAUUCUGUUGCCUUUCUGUGAAUGCAUAUAAAAAAGGUUAAGGUAUGUUGUGUCACUUGAAGUAAAUUAAACUGUGCUCAACACUAAA